RNAcentral lists this ribosomal RNA (274 nucleotides) under uncultured bacterium. Its description in RNAcentral is "partial 16S ribosomal RNA". It matches the Rfam family "Bacterial small subunit ribosomal RNA", at positions 523 to 796 of the family's 1533-position model. The record is from RNAcentral.
AUACGGAGGGUGCAAGCGUUACUCGGAAUCACUGGGCGUAAAGCGCGCGCAGGCGGCUAUUUAAGUUGGAUGUGAAAGCCUACGGCUCAACCGUAGAACUGCAUCCAAAACUAUUUAGCUAGAGUGUGGGAGAGGAAGAUGGAAUUAGUUGUGUAGGGGUAAAAUCCGUAGAGAUAACUAGGAAUACCAAAAGCGAAGGCAAUCUUCUGGAACACUACUGACGCUGAGGCGCGAAGGCGUGGGGAGCAAACAGGAUUAGAAACCCCUGUAGUCC